GGGAAGGUGGCUCAGUGGUAGAGCACUUGCCUUGCAUGCAGGAGGCCCUCGGUUCAAUUCCUCACCACCACA
Dipodomys ordii (Ord's kangaroo rat) is the source of this 72-nucleotide non-coding RNA. The record is from Rfam. Lineage: Eukaryota; Metazoa; Chordata; Mammalia; Rodentia; Heteromyidae.